RNAcentral lists this small RNA (2412 nucleotides) under Pan troglodytes (chimpanzee). RNAcentral's name for it is "processed transcript". Lineage: Eukaryota; Metazoa; Chordata; Mammalia; Primates; Hominidae. The record is from RNAcentral.
AGCGCCGUCAUGAGACCCGACUGGUGGAGAUUGACAAUGGGAAGCAGCGUGAGUUUGAGAGCCGGCUGGCGGAUGCGCUGCAGGAACUGCGGGCCCAGCAUGAGGACCAGGUGGAGCAGUAUAAGAAGGAGCUGGAGAAGACUUAUUCUGCCAAGCUGGACAAUGCCAGGCAGUCUGCUGAGAGGAACAGCAACCUGGUGGGGGCCGCCCACGAGGAGCUGCAGCAGUCGCGCAUCCGCAUCGACAGCCUCUCUGCCCAGCUCAGCCAGCUCCAGAAGCAGGGCCCUUGGGAGCUCACCAAACUCUCCCACCCCCCUGCAGCUGGCAGCCAAGGAGGCGAAGCUUCGAGACCUGGAGGACUCACUGGCCCGUGAGCGGGACACCAGCCGGCGGCUGCUGGCGGAAAAGGAGCGGGAGAUGGCCGAGAUGCGGGCAAGGAUGCAGCAGCAGCUGGACGAGUACCAGGAGCUUCUGGACAUCAAGCUGGCCCUGGACAUGGAGAUCCACGCCUACCGCAAGCUCUUGGAGGGCGAGGAGGAGAGGCUACGCCUGUCCCCCAGCCCUACCUCGCAGCGCAGCCGUGGCCGUGCUUCCUCUCACUCAUCCCAGACACAGGGUGGGGGCAGCGUCACCAAAAAGCGCAAACUGGAGUCCACCGAGAGCCGCAGCAGCUUCUCACAGCACGCGCGCACUAGCGGGCGCGUGGCCGUGGAGGAGGUGGACGAGGAGGGCAAGUUUGUCCGGCUGCGCAACAAGUCCAAUGAGGACCAGUCCAUGGGCAAUUGGCAGAUCAAGCGCCAGAAUGGAGAUGAUCCCUUGCUGACUUACCGGUUCCCACCAAAGUUCACCCUGAAGGCUGGGCAGGUGGUGACGGUGAGUGGCAGGGCGCUUGGGACUCUGGGGAGGCCUUGGGUGGCGAUGGGAGCACUGGGGUAAGUGUCCUUUUCUCCUCUCCAGAUCUGGGCUGCAGGAGCUGGGGCCACCCACAGCCCCCCUACCGACCUGGUGUGGAAGGCACAGAACACCUGGGGCUGCGGGAACAGCCUGCGUACGGCUCUCAUCAACUCCACUGGGGAAGAGGUGGCCAUGCGCAAGCUGGUGCGCUCAGUGACUGUGGUUGAGGACGACGAGGAUGAGGAUGGAGAUGACCUGCUCCAUCACCACCACGUGAGUGGUAGCCGCCGCUGAGGCCGAGCCUGCACUGGGGCCACCCAGCCAGGCCUGGGGGCAGCCUCUCCCCAGCCUCCCCAUGCCAAAAAUCUUUUCAUUAAAGAAUGUUUUGGAACUUUACUCGCUGGCCUGGCCUUUCUUCUCUCUCCUCCCUAUACCUUGAACAGGGAACCCAGGUGUCUGGGUGCCCUACUCUGGUAAGGAAGGGAGUGGGAACUUUCUGAUGCCAUGGAAUAUUCCUGUGGGAGCAGUGGACAAGGGUCUGGAUUUGUCUUCUGGGAAAGGGAGGGGAGGACAGACGUGGGGCAUGCCUGCCCUGCCUCUCUCCCCCAUUCUUGUUGCAUGCAUAUCCUCUCAUUUCCCUCAUUUUUCCUGCAAGAAUGUUCUCUCUCAUUCCUGACCGCCCCUCCACUCCAAUUAAUAGUGCAUGCCUGCUGCCCUACAAGCUUGCUCCCGUUCUCUCUUCUUUUCCUCUUAAGCUCAGAGUAGCUAGAACAGAGUCAGAGUCACCGCUCUGGUUCUCUGUCCCCAAGUCUUCCUGAGCCUUCUCCCCUUUUAUGUCUUCCCUCUCCUCCUCCGGCCCUUGGCCUCCCAAACCCCCAUUGCCCGCUGGCUCCUUAGGCACAGAACCACACCUUCCUGCCUGGCGGCUGGGAGCCUGCAGGAGCCUGGAGCCUGGAGCCUGGUUGGGCCUGAGUGGUCAGUCCCAGACUCGCCGUCCCGCCUGAGCCUUGUCUCCCUUCCCAGGGCUCCCACUGCAGCAGCUCGGGGGACCCCGCUGAGUACAACCUGCGCUCGCGCACCGUGCUGUGCGGGACCUGCGGGCAGCCUGCCGACAAGGCAUCUGCCAGCGGCUCAGGAGCCCAGGUGGGCGGACCCAUCUCCUCUGGCUCUUCUGCCUCCAGUGUCACGGUCACUCGCAGCUACCGCAGUGUGGGGGGCAGUGGGGGUGGCAGCUUCGGGGACAAUCUGGUCACCCGCUCCUACCUCCUGGGCAACUCCAGCCCCCGAACCCAGAGCCCCCAGAACUGCAACAUCAUGUAAUCUGGGACCUGCCAGGCAGGGGUGGGGGUGGAGGCUUCCUGCGUCCUCCUCACCUCAUGCCCACCCCCUGCCCUGCACCUCAUGGGAGGGGGCUUGAAGCCAAAGAAAAAUAACCCUUUGGUUUUUUUCUUCUGUAUUUUUUUUUUCUAAGAGAAGUUAUUUUCUACAGUGGUUUUAUACUGAAGGAAAAACACAAGC